AUAUGGAGGAAUCUUUUAACAAAAUGGAUUUAAGUGGUAAACUCAUAAUCAAGGCUAGGUUUGGCGAGGACAUCAGGCGUAUUCCAAUCCAUAACGAUGAUCUCACGUAUGACGAGCUUGUUCUAAUGAUGCAGAGAGUGUUUAAAGGAAGUAUAACUCCUGAUGAUGAACUACUUCUUAAAUAUAAAGAUGAAGACGGAGAUCUGAUAACAAUCACAGACAAUUCUGAUCUGUCAUUUGCGAUCCAGUAUUGUCGUGUUCUCAAGCUGACCAUAUUGAGUGGGAACCAGGAGCAGAAAACUGGAACCGUCUUACCCUCUCUAGAUCAACUCAGGAGCAUCAGGGAUGCAAUUAACAAACUUCUAGAUAGCUGCGUAGACUCAGGGUCAGCUCCGAUACAGGUAGUUGAGGAGACUGGGGAACCUGAUUCCAGUUUGUCAUUGAACAAAGAGGUUUCUUCAGCUUUCAACGGUUUCAAGGAGCAGAGCAGGGAGUUCGAUCCUUUAAAUCAAGAGCAAACAAAUCAGGUUCUGAAAGCUGACUCAGACUAUCGAAGUGAAUCCCGGGCUUCAUCUGCACAGGAUCCGUCGGAUACAACCCCGUCAUAUCCGUCUCAACCUUCCUCCCAACAAUCAUUCUCAGCACCUGGGCAGCAACCUGUCUACCCAGCUGCACAAGCUGGUCAGCCGACCUUUCCAGGCCAACCUGCAUACUCCGCAGCGCAGCCUGGAUACUCAUCUUCACAACCUGGUUAUACUACUGCACAGUCUUCAUAUCCUUCUUCCCAGCCUGCCUACAAUGUUGGAUAUCCAGCUGGUCAACCCCAGGCCGGUCAAACUCCGAACCAGGGCCAGGUAGCCAUGCCGACUCCGUUUGCUGGUCAAACCGGUGAUCCGGGACUUGCUAAACCAUAUCCUACAGCCCAGCGUCCCGUUCAACCUCCAGGAGCUACGCAGCAGCAGUAUCCAGGUUUCCCAGGAGUAGGUCAGCAGCAACCUGCCUAUUCAACUCCAGGAUAUACAUCUGCAGGACCGGCAGCAUACUCGGGCUACCCUGGAUAUACACCAACCAGUGCUCCGAGUAAUCCUUAUAGUAGAGCCACACCUGGAGCAGGAUAUGCGCAUCCUCAGCAGACCCAACCUGGUUACAAAUAAUCUAGGGUUUAAUACUUAUCUUGCUACUAGGGUAGAUACAUCGCCAACAAAAAUGUUUAAGUUUAUGCUAUGUAAUAAGAUGAUUUUAUGCGGGGGGGGGCAAAUAUAUUUUUGUAAUAUUUAUCCCUCCCUCUGAAUAUGAGGAAGGGUUUAUGAGGUCCCUUAAAUCUAGAUAUUUAAUAUUUAUUUAUUAAUUAUAAAUUUUGUGUAAAUGUGUGCGAAUUGUAUUUUAAUAUACGGAGAUUUUAUAAUGAAUAUUUCUAUUAAAUUACUUCACCUUUUUA
This 1438-nucleotide unclassified non-coding RNA is filed under the name Eurytemora carolleeae. RNAcentral's name for it is "protein TFG". Lineage: Eukaryota; Metazoa; Arthropoda; Copepoda; Calanoida; Temoridae. The record is from RNAcentral.